GGCGUGGUCAGUAGCUCAGUUGGUAGAGCGUCUGUCAUGUAAACGGAAGACCCGGGUUCAAGUCCCGGCCGCGCCA
Molecule: transfer RNA, 76 nt
Filed under: Mesoflavibacter zeaxanthinifaciens
Lineage: Bacteria; Pseudomonadati; Bacteroidota; Flavobacteriia; Flavobacteriales; Flavobacteriaceae
Also listed under: 1 other name
Rfam family: tRNA
About the family: Transfer RNA (tRNA) molecules are approximately 80 nucleotides in length. Their secondary structure includes four short double-helical elements and three loops (D, anti-codon, and T loops).
Source: RNAcentral